CUGUAAUAUUUGGGCUGAAUUGGUACCAGAUUGGUCAAGGGCCAAAACAACCUGAUUCCAUUAAUAAUUUGUGGUGAAAUUGACCAAGAUCAAGAAAAAAAGUAGCACGAUAUUGGAAAGUGCGAAAGUUCUUUUUGAGGGCUGGUAAAAAUUUAUUUGAAUAUAUAUAAGAGAAACUUGUCAAUUUUGGACUGGGGCUAUUGCUAGCUGAAAAAGAUUUUGGCACAGCC
This 230-nucleotide long non-coding RNA is filed under the name Mytilus galloprovincialis (Mediterranean mussel). The record is from RNAcentral. Lineage: Eukaryota; Metazoa; Mollusca; Bivalvia; Mytilida; Mytilidae.